This 200-nucleotide ribosomal RNA is filed under the name uncultured bacterium. RNAcentral's name for it is "partial 16S ribosomal RNA". It matches the Rfam family "Bacterial small subunit ribosomal RNA", at positions 8 to 204 of the family's 1533-position model. The record is from RNAcentral.
AGAGUUUGAUCCUGGCUCAGGAUGAACGCUAGCGGCAGGCCUAAUACAUGCAAGUCGGACGGGAUUGAGUAGCUUGCUAUUCAUGAGAGUGGCGCACGGGUGCGUAACACGUAUGUAACCUACCUUAGUCAGGGGGAUAGCCUCUCGAAAGAGAGAUUAAGACCGCAUAAAAUUACGAUGUGGCAUCACAAUGUAAUCAA